Molecule: ribosomal RNA, 497 nt
Filed under: uncultured bacterium
Lineage: Bacteria
Description: partial 16S ribosomal RNA
Rfam family: Bacterial small subunit ribosomal RNA
Source: RNAcentral
GAUGAACGCUGGCGGCGUGCCUAAUACAUGCAAGUCGAGCGAACGGACGAGAAGCUUGCUUCUCUGAUGUUAGCGGCGGACGGGUGAGUAACACGUGGAUAACCUACCUAUAAGACUGGGAUAACUUCGGGAAACCGGAGCUAAUACCGGAUAAUAUUUUGAACCGCAUGGUUCAAAAGUAAAAUACGGUCUUGCUGUCACUUAUAGAUGGAUCCGCGCUGCAUUAGCUAGUUGGUAAGGUAACGGCUUACCAAGGCAACGCUGCAUAGCCGACCUGAGAGGGUGAUCGGCCACACUGGAACUGAGACACGGUCCAGACUCCUACGGGAGGCAGCAGUAGGGAAUCUUCCGCAAUGGGCGAAAGCCUGACGGAGCAACGCCGCGUGAGUGAUGAAGGUCUUCGGAUCGUAAAACUCUGUUAUUAGGGAAGAACAUAUGUGUAAGUAACUGUGCACAUCUUGACGGUACCUAAUCAGAAAGCCACGGCUAACUACGUG